GGAUUGUAAACUUCUUUUAUUAAGCACGAAGUAAGUGACGGUACUUAAUGAAUAAGCUCCGGCUAACUACGUGCCAGCAGCCGCGGUAAUACGUAGGGAGCAAGCGUUGUCCGGAUUUACUGGGUGUAAAGGGUGCGUAGGCGGCUUUGCAAGUCAGAUGUGAAAUCUAUGGGCUCAACCCAUAGCCUGCAUUUGAAACUGCAGAGCUUGAGUGUAGUAGAGGCAGGCGGAAUUCCCCGUGUAGCGGUGAAAUGCGUAGAGAUGGGGAGGAACACCAGUGGCGAAGGCGGCCUGCUGGGCUUUAACUGACGCUGAGGCACGAAAGCGUGGGUAGCAAACAGGAUUAGAUACCCUGGUAGUCCACGCUGUAAA
Molecule: ribosomal RNA, 372 nt
Filed under: uncultured bacterium
Lineage: Bacteria
Description: bacterial SSU rRNA
Rfam family: Bacterial small subunit ribosomal RNA
Source: RNAcentral